RNAcentral lists this ribosomal RNA (502 nucleotides) under uncultured bacterium. RNAcentral's name for it is "bacterial SSU rRNA". It matches the Rfam family "Bacterial small subunit ribosomal RNA", at positions 903 to 1397 of the family's 1533-position model. The record is from RNAcentral.
AAAGGAAUAGACGGGGGCCCGCACAAGCGGUGGAGCAUGUGGUUUAAUACGACGCAACGCGUAGAACCUUACCAGGGCUUGACAUGCAGCUGCACGCCCCGGGAAACCGGGGAAUCCUUCGAGGGUGCUGCACAGGUGUUGCAUGCCUGUCGUCAGCUCGUGCCGUGAGGUGUUUGGUUAAGUCCAUCAACGAGCGCAACCCUCGUUCUUAUUUGCCAGUCUGAGCGCAAGCAAGGACGGAACUCUAAGAAGACUGCCUCGGUAACGAGGAGGAAGGUGAGGACGACGUCAAGUCAUUAUGGCCCUUAUGCCCUGGGCUACACACGUGCUACAAUGGCCGGUACAGAGGGUCGCCAACCCGCGAGGGGGAGCCAAUCCCACAAAGCCGGCCCCAGUUCGGAUUGGAGUCUGCAAUUCGACUCCAUGAAGUCGGAAUCGCUAGUAAUGGCGGAUCAGCUACGCCGCCGUGAAUACGUUCCCGGGCCUUGUACACACCGCCCGU